GAAUCGCAGGAUGGGGGGAGUCAGACAAGCAGGGCAAGCCUAAGCAUUGAAGUCGUGAGUUCACAGGCAAGGAACAGAAUGUUUCGCCCAAGGAUGAUUCCGCCCCUGUGGAGCCAACCCACGGCCAUGGCCUUCUGAGCAGGGGCAUUAACUGAGCCAAAUGUGCAGGAAAAGAACUAAUGAGGCGACGUCGUUGACCACCGCCAAGAGGCUGCAUGGGGCCCAGCUCAGAGUCCAGCUCAGAGGGGUGACAAAGAAGAGAGUCCUUGACACUGCCCUUGAGAUGUCCAUAGUCUAAUUGUGACAAUAAUAUAUUUAAGAACUCGAGGCCAUUUAGAAGAUGAAGAGAAGAUAUUAGGGAGGUGGGGUGAGGGUAUAGAAAAACUGAGGUGCCCCAGCCUGCUGUGUGACCUUGAGUCUCCUUAACAUCUUGGCUCCUCAGCUUCCCUGUCUAAGAAAUGAGGUCAAUGCCAUCUGUCCUUUUUCAUUUAGGCCUUGCGUGGUGAAUGAAGUGACAGGUGGAGGGUCCUGCAGAGGAGAGAGAACUGGAACGUGGGCCUGCCGUGGGAGGUUUCUCUCUGCCCACUUCCUGUCCCUUCUUAAGGAAUGCUCAGAGCAGGGGACUUUAUCCCUCCUCAUCCCAAGCUGAAAAGUUAAGCAAGAUGUGACCUUGCUAUGUGAGAUUUGAUAAUCAAAAAUCCAAUGGUUAGUCUAGCCUAUCUCUGUAAAGAAACACAAGAAACUGGUAACACUGCUUUUCCCUGGGGAGGAGAGCCGGGCAAUUGAGUGAAAGGCG
Molecule: long non-coding RNA, 796 nt
Filed under: Equus caballus (horse)
Lineage: Eukaryota; Metazoa; Chordata; Mammalia; Perissodactyla; Equidae
Description: lncRNA (ENSECAG00000051863.1)
Source: RNAcentral